AGCCUAUAAAAAUGAAUAAAUAGAGCGAAUGCCAAAUGAGUUACAAGUGAGGAAAGUGGAGGUAUUGCCUAAAUGUCAUGACUCGGAUUUCCCAAUCUUCAGGGAUCAUGAUGGUACCUAUUAAUGGUACCUAGGCAAGCUAAAUACUAAUAAUAAUUUCUUAACCACAUAAUCCUUUUUAAUAUUUAUCAACAAUAAGAUAAAAGUAACCGAUUUAACUAAACAAACGGAAGACUUAAUGUUAAUGAAAAACGAAUAAUAAUACGGAAGUUCAACAUAGCCUCUACCUAAAAUCAGGUGACACAUAACUCACGAACUACUAAGAUUCACUAAAUACAACGUCUGAAAGAAAGUAUAAACUGUUUGUCUCGAAAUACAUGAGAUCAAAUUGAAAUAAGGAUAGAGGAGACAUCGGGCCUGCGGACGCCUGCUAGGCUACCUCGGUGUCUCACUGGAAUGAAGGCUCGCUCCCAGGCUACUGCUGCUGCUCAAAAACUACUCCAGUAUCUGCACAUAAGUGCAGAGUGUAGCGUCAACACAACCGACCCCAUGUGCUGGUAAGUGUCUGGCCUAAACCCGACGAAGUAAUGACGAGGCUAGGACAAAAUUCCAGAUAAACCUAUGUAAUUACAUAAUAUAUAGCGAAAGGAACAACAGGAAAUAAACAAGUAAAACUAGGGAGGGAAACAUGCUCUGGGGAUAGCAAAAAUGAACAAUAUUCUCAAAAUUGACCAAGAAACCAACUAUAAAGCCGCUAACACGAAACAUAAUAGAUAAAACAACUUUCACUUUAGAUGUUCAUCUCGUUGCAGGCGUUCAACCCGAUCCCAUUUCUCAAUUUCUCGUGGUAAGCGUACCACAUGAUCCCAUUUCUUCAUAACUUGUGGUAGGCGUACCACCCGAUCCCAUUUCAUCAUAACUUAUGGUAGGCAUAUACCGCCCGCUUCCAUUUCAUCAAUAUCCCGUGGUAGGCGUAUCACCACACCCAUUUUAAUCAAUAAACAGAAAGGGAGAACUUUGUCAGAGAAUACUACAAGACAGUGAAGUGUGAUGUCUUAAAAAAUAUCCUUAUAUUUGUGAAUUCUCCUUCACUCAUUGUGAAGGAAAUUAUUAGUAAUUAAAUUGUUAUCAUGAGAAGCAAUUUAUAUGCAUAUCAAUUUGAUUUUACAUUGAAAGAGUGUGCCUUUAACAAACUUUAAGAAACAUACCCAUAUUGUGAAUUCAAUAACCAAAUAAAAUUUUCAUUUUUUCAGAAGAUCAAAUUAAUCAAACUAUAUCUCAAAUUUUACCUACUUCUUAUUUUUUGCAUCAACAUUAUGCAUCAAAUUAAAGUAGGGAAAGUCUGGAUUGAAACUUUCUUAUACAGAUUUUGGAGAAAAGUAAAAAAUAUUGAGAUCAACGAGACCUACCAGCAAAGGAAGAAGAAUAUAGCAGGCCAAAACUACAAAGAAACAACAAAAGAGCAAUAGAUUCUGAUUAGUAAAGAAACCCUAAUCCAUGACCAGUGAAAUCUAUAUUUAACCUAAUGGAAUAUGAAUCUAAAUAAGGUCGACGCUCUUCUACGCUCACUAAAAAUACAAAAUCAAAGUUUACCUGCUACAGCUUUGCAUUUCACGACCAAAAGGGUCAUCAAAAUCAAAACCAUGAGGAAGAGAGAGAGAGAAAGAAAGAGAGAGAUAGAUAGAUAGAGUAGAAAGAAUGUACCUACUGACAGUGGUCGGUGAUAGUGAUAAAGAUGAGUUUAGCGCCGACGACAUGGGAGAGAGAGGGGCGAUGCAUAUGCUCUAUCUUGCGGCUUGCCGUGGGUGAAUGUGUUUCCACGCAGUACAUGGAGAGAGUAUUCUAGAAGGAAAAAUGUGAGAGAAUGAAAUGAGUAUAAUAGGCUUUUAAUUUAGUAAUCUUUACUGAUUAUUACUUUGAAUAGCUGGUAAAAAGUUACGACUUCUUGGAAAAUGUUCAAUUGUUGCUAAAUGCUAAUGUUUGUGCAUAGAAAAUUA
Molecule: long non-coding RNA, 1997 nt
Filed under: Nicotiana benthamiana
Lineage: Eukaryota; Viridiplantae; Streptophyta; Magnoliopsida; Solanales; Solanaceae
Description: long non-coding RNA (NBEN_LNC026937)
Source: RNAcentral